AGCUGUACGGGUCGGACGCGCAGGCUGGGGGCGGGAGUGGAUUACCGGGCGAGCAAACGGGAUUUGCAGACAGAGACCUUUUUAUUUUAGACGAGUACACCAGUCGCUUCGGAACAGUGGGAGCGCGGCUCAUCUCAUUCGUUUUUAAGUCAUUGGCUCUUCCAGGUGCCGCUCUGCGGGAAGUUGGGGCAGCACGGAGUCUGCCAGCGGUCUACAGGAAGUUUUGGGGAGCACAAGGUUGUCUGCAAAGAGCGGCGGUGGGCGUGGUCUACCGUCCGAAGACACUAGGUCGAGCCAUUCUGACUGUUGCGUUUUUGGAUUUUUGACAUCAUUUUGUACUGGUAGCCCAGGAGAGACACCGUCCCUUUUUAGGGAUUUGAACUGAGUAUUUGCUUAGCCCUGCCGUAGGCAAGAGCAUGGAGAAAGCUCAGAACUGGUUCUACCAUCGUGAAAGCGUAUCUGUCAGAUUUUGGUGAUUUAGACCCAUUAAUUCUGCUGCAGUCUUAGAGCCCUUGGGGUAGGCUCUACACCUGUGCAUGUAUGUAAUAACCCUCACAGACCCUCUAGUAACUGCCUGCCGGCCCCUCUGGCUUGAUGCCUGGGUUUGCAGGGAUCUUCAAAGUCUUUAGGCCCAAAAGUUCUCAGGCCUGGCUUAGUUGGGGAGGUAGUAUCAUUCAUUAUCAAUGGAGAAUGGAGCAUUUAUCAAUGACUCCUUCGAGGGCAGCCCCUGCUGAGAUUGAGGAUGGGCAGGGAGUAGUUGUUCAUUACUAUUUGUUCAUGCAAACUAUCUUGCUAAAAAAUAAAAGCCCCUUCUCCCUCCCACCCCAAAGUGUUCAGAAAAUGUAAUUUUAAGGACCUGUUCUGGGGUAAACUAAAGGAAAGAGACAUAACCUCACCUCACGGGACUGGCAGUCUAGUGGGAAGGGCAAGGAAGGCAUGAAAGGAUUAAAUAAUAAUUAAGGCAGUGGUAUGAGAAAGCUGCGGAGAUCCAGAUGCUUUUUAAUAAUUCCACUGUUUGGCAGUGAUUAAUUGCCUCGUUUAGCAAUUCUUAUAGGCAGGUGAUAGAGACAGGAGCUGAAUUUAAGGAAGGAUGAGGUCAUUGGUGUGGUCAGAGAAGACUUAGGGUGAGCGGGGCCCCCGGCUCCAGGGAGGUAGUGGCGUUGGAGAACUAAGGGUGAGUAGGCAGUGAGAUGUCCAUGCAGGGCACAGGGAGCAGACUAAGUUUGCUUGUGGUUUGCUUUGAGUUUUGAAUAAAGGAUGAACUUGGGGGACCCAGUGUCUAUCUUAACAAGAUGAAAGAUGAAAUUACCCAGGUAAUUUGGUAGUUUGGAUUUUAGUUCUCAUUGCGAGAAACUUAUGAAACCCCUUUAGUUCUUGACUCCAGUCCUCCUUAUGAAGGUAUGGCUGUGCUAGAGAGUGAGACCUAAGCUUGCAAUGUAGCACCAACUCUCCUGAUCUGGACCCCAGAAGCUGUUAGGAGGACUUUCUGUCCUUGUGGCAACAGACAUCAUCCCAGUUUUUCAGAGGAAAGAAUGCUAAGAAGCUGCUGGCUUUCAAAUUGAACCACUGGUGGGGGCUGGCCCCAUGGCAGAGUGGAAAACUUGCAGCGUGAGUGAGGACGGCAGGCGGUGUUCCCUCCGGGGGCCACUGUAGCUUGGAGUGAUUGGUCCAAAUCCCUGGGGACGUCUUUCCUUUAUAGAUGCCUCUAGGAAUUAAAAUGCUGUUUUGCUUGAAUUCAGCGGUACUUAGAGCCCCUGGGAGUGAAGAGGUAUAAAAGCAACUCCCACACUGCAUUUGCAUUUGGAAUCCUGUUGCUGCUGGUGAUCAGGAAGAAGCAUUUAGAGAGAACUUGGCAUGUGCCACAUCCCAAUGGGAUGGGAAUGCAGUGGCUGGCUUCCUCAGGUUCCAGGAGGUUCCAGUAUUGAUUAUUCUUAAAGUAUAAUUUACACAAUCAUGUGUGGAAAUCCAGGAAAGGAUGCUGUUUGUAAGAGAAACAGGGGCUUCGUCGUUUCAUUUUUGGAAAUCUCGCCCUUUAAAUCUCGAGCGCACUCGCUGCCCAGCCCAAAGCACACAGUCUUCAGCACAUGGGUUCUCUCUGGAUGGCUGUGCGGACAGGCCAGGACUCUGGUCCAGCUCUGUGAUCGUUUCGUUCACACGGUGAAUCAUUUGGCCACUCUGGGCACCAGUUUCUUGCUCUAUGAGGGCCUCCAGAAAGGAAUGCUGCCCUGCCCCCACCUUGAUUUUAGCCCAGUGAGACCCGUGUUGGACUUCUGACCUCCAAAACUGUGGAAACGUAUCAUGCUCUUUUCUGUACCUUGAUAUUUUUCACUUAAGUGAUUUUGGAGAUUCUUCCAGAACAGAACAUGUAGAUCAACCUCAUUUUGAGUGCCGUGUAGUGUUCCAGGCACCAGGUGGACGUCGGCUGCUGAAGCAUUACAGCCCAAACCAGGAAUGUGGAAGGGAAGUUCUCUCAAAGCUGAACACUGAACAGUUGUCUGCUUCGUCUGGAUGGAGAGAUGGCCAGAGGUGUGUGUGCAGUUCAACGCUGACCUCAUACCUAAAUGUAAGGUCUUUGAGGAGCGGUCUUCUGUCUUGUUCAUUGCUGUAUCUCUACUGUCUAGAACAGUGCCUGGCACGUAGGCGACACUCAAUAAAUAUUGUUGACUUGAAGUCAAGUUCUCUUCCUUGAGGGAAAAGUUGUGAUAUGUGUAUUUGAAUAUAUCAAGAAUGGAUGUCAAUCCACAAAUUCAGGUGAUGAGAAAUAUGGUUGGUAUCUCUUUAUUUUUUGUACUGUAUGUGUAUAUAUAU
Equus quagga is the source of this 2808-nucleotide long non-coding RNA. RefSeq lists it as uncharacterized. The record is from RefSeq and is a predicted model, not a curated record. Lineage: Eukaryota; Metazoa; Chordata; Mammalia; Perissodactyla; Equidae. The transcript is spliced from 9 exons.